UAGUAGAGUGGCGCACGGGUGAGUAACGCGUAAGUUAUCUACCCUCCCAUCUGGAAUAACUCACCGAAAGGUGUGCUAAUACCGGAUACGUUGGAAACAAGAAAGGUGGCCUCUAUUUAUAAGCUACCGUGGGGGGAUGAGCUUGCGUACCAUUAGCUAGUUGGUAGGGUAAUGGCCUACCAAGGCAACGAUGGUUAGCGGGUCUGAGAGGAUGAUCCGCCACACUGGAACUGGAACACGGACCAG
This 246-nucleotide ribosomal RNA is filed under the name uncultured bacterium. RNAcentral's name for it is "partial 16S ribosomal RNA". It matches the Rfam family "Bacterial small subunit ribosomal RNA", at positions 88 to 334 of the family's 1533-position model. The record is from RNAcentral.